AACGAACGCUGGCGGCAUGCCUAACACAUGCAAGUCGAACGAGACCUUCGGGUCUAGUGGCGCACGGGUGCGUAACGCGUGGGAACCUGCCCUUAGGUUCGGAAUAACUCCCCGAAAGGGGUGCUAAUACCGGAUAAUGUCUUCGGACCAAAGAUUUAUCGCCUUUGGAUGGGCCCGCGUUGGAUUAGCUAGUUGGUAGGGUAAAAGCCUACCAAGGCGACGAUCCAUAGCUGGUCUGAGAGGAUGAUCAGCCACACUGGGACUGAGACACGGCCCAGACUCCUACGGGGGGCAGCAGUGGGGAAUAUUGGACAAUGGGCGAAAGCCUGAUCCAGCAAUGCCGCGUGAGUGAUGAAGGCCUUAGGGUUGUAAAGCUCUUUUACCCGGGAUGAUAAUGACAGUACCGGGAGAAUAAGCUCCGGCGAACUCCGU
This 432-nucleotide ribosomal RNA is filed under the name uncultured bacterium. Its description in RNAcentral is "partial 16S ribosomal RNA". It matches the Rfam family "Bacterial small subunit ribosomal RNA", at positions 29 to 506 of the family's 1533-position model. The record is from RNAcentral.